GCGGUGGAUGAUGUGGUUUAAUUCGAUGCAACGCGAAAACCUUACCCACCUUUGACAUGGCAGGAAUCCCGAAGAGAUUUGGAGUGCUCGAAAGAGAGCCGUAACACAGGUGCUGCAUGGCUGUCGUCAGCUCGUGUCGUGAGAUGUUGGGUUAAGUCCCGCAACGAGCGCAACCCUUGUCAUUAGUUGCUACGAAAGGGCACUCUAAUGAGACUGCCGGUGACAAACCGGAGGAAGGUGGGGAUGACGUCAAGUCCUCAUGGCCCUUAUAGGUGGGGCUACACACGUCAUACAAUGGCUGGUACAAAGGGUUGCCAACCCGCGAGGGGGAGCCAAUCCCAUAAAGCCAGUCGUAGUCCGGAUCGCAGUCUGCAACUCGACUGCGUGAAGUCGGAAUCGCUAGUAAUCGUGGAUCAGCAUGUCACGGUGAAUACGUUCCCGGGUCUU
This 447-nucleotide ribosomal RNA is filed under the name uncultured Hydrogenophaga sp. RNAcentral describes it as "bacterial SSU rRNA". It matches the Rfam family "Bacterial small subunit ribosomal RNA", at positions 929 to 1382 of the family's 1533-position model. The record is from RNAcentral. Lineage: Bacteria; Pseudomonadati; Pseudomonadota; Betaproteobacteria; Burkholderiales; Comamonadaceae.